Non-coding RNA from Camellia sinensis, 1448 nucleotides. The record is from RefSeq and is a predicted model, not a curated record. NCBI's taxonomy places the organism in Eukaryota, Viridiplantae, Streptophyta, Magnoliopsida, Ericales, Theaceae.
AGUCUAGAGAGAAGAAAAUGCAAGAAAAUAAGAUACAGAGAGACUUAUCUAGGGUUUUAUCCCUUUUUUUUUUUUUUUUUUGGGUCGCUACCUCAGCUUACCCCAUUUCUGUCUCGUUGGACCAGUGUAUCACUACCAUCACACCAUUUCCAUACAGGGGCUUCUAAUACAUUAAAAGGCAAGAAAAAAGGGACAUCAAACAAAAAUGAGGUUGGUUCUGUUUCUAACUUUAACUAGGAACUAUAGUUAAUAGGAGUUUCUCUAAUUAACUUUAGUUCAUAAAUUUUAUUAUUAAGUAGUGGUUAAUUUUUCCAUUGUGAUUCUGUGGGUGGUUUCCAUUCCAUUGUGAUUCAUGGCUCAUCAUCUUAUUAAUAAAUGUGAUUCAUGUUUCUAAUUUUCUUAUAAUUUUUUUUAUGAUUCAUGUUUCUUAUGUUUAUAAUUUUCUUAUGAUUUUCUGAGUGAAAGGGUGAUUAUUUGAUUCAUGGUGUUGGAAGGAAUACUUUUCUUUUGUUUAGGUGAUGCUUUUGGUGUUGGAAGGACUAUUUUUUAUUUUAGGAUACUCCAGUCAAGAAAAACUUCCAAAAGUGAGGUAGUGGGAUUUAGACUAACAUAACUAUAUAAAAAGACACCUAGAAGGACAAGAAGAAAAAGAAGAAUUCGAUGUUAGACCAGAGUUUUUACAUUGAGAGUGAAUAAAAAGUUGAGUAGAAUGAAUUUAACAGAGUCCAAGAUGAUGGGAAUGAUUUAGAUUCUUCCAAUUAUUCAAAUGAAAACCAGCAGUAGAGCAAAACCAAUUCUCUCAACACGACAUGGCGUCAAAGUUACAGGACACCCAGAAGGAGAAGGAGAAGAAGAAGAAUUUGAUGUUACAGAGUUUUUAUAUUAAGAGUGAAGAUAAAGUUGAGUAGAAUGAAUUUAACAACAGCCAAGAUGAUGGGAAUGAUUCAGAUUCUUCCAAUUAUUCAAAUGAAAACCAGCAGUAGAGCAAAACCAAUUCUCUCAACACAACAUGGUGUCAAAGUUACAGAACAUCCCUCCCAAGUUUCAUUCAAUGAUGUGAAAUCCGAGUCAACUUGUUGUGUGUUUGGAAAGUGGUUCUCGAAUUUGGGAGCUGGUAUUUCAGGACUAGCAAUUUAUCUUUCUGCACUUGAGCAUGAGCUAGCAGCCAGAAAAGCUAGCAGUUUAUCUUUUUACUUUUGAGCAUGAGCUAGCAACGAGAAAAUUUGUAGUCUUUGUGGUCUUUGGGUAUCGUCUAUGUCCAUGAGUUUCUAUCUAUGUUGUUUAAAAAAUUCAUUUUUUUUUCUCUCUUUUUCUUUUUCCACUUGUGUUAACUUUUACCAUGUUCAAUUUGCUAUUUUGGUAUCUUCUAUUUCCAUGGAUUCAUAUUUCUUUGCUUUUAAGCUUCUGUUUGCAUGAAGCAUUUUUAAUAAGAAAUGGUCCAUACUAUA